UAAAGAGCUUGUAGGNGGUUUGUCGCGUCGGGAGUGAAAACUCAGGGCUUAACUNUGAGCUUGCUUUCGAUACGGGCUGACUUGAGGGAGGUAGGGGAGAAUNGAAUUCCUGGUGGAGCGGUGGAAUGCGCAGAUAUCAGGAGGAACACCGGUGGCGAAGGCGGUUCUNUGGACCUUUCCUGACGCUGAGAAGCGAAAGCGUGGGGAGCGAACAGGCUUAGAUACCCUGGUAGUCCACGCUGUAAACGGUGGGUACUAGGUGUGGGGAACAUUCCACGUUCUCCGUGCCGUAGCUAACGCAUUAAGUACCCCGCCUGGGGAGUACGGCCGCAAGGCUAAAACUCAAAGGAAUUGACGGGGCCCCGCACAAGCGGCGGAGCAUGCGGAUUAAUUCGAUGCAACGCGAAGAACCUUACCUGGGUUUGACAUAUGCCGGAAGCGUUCAGAGAUGGGCGUGCCUUUUUGGUCGGUUUACAGGUGGUGCAUGGCUGUCGUCAGCUCGUGUCGUGAGAUGUUGGGUUAAGUCCCGCAACGAGCGCAACCCUCGUCCAAUGUUGCCAGCGGGUUAUGCCGGGGACUCAUUGGAGACCGCCGGGGUCAACUCGGAGGAAGGUGGGGAUGACGUCAAGUCAUCAUGCCCCUUAUGUCCAGGGCUUCACGCAUGCUACAAUGGCCGGUACAGUGAGCUGCGAGCCUGUGAGGGUGAGCGAAUCUCUAAAAGCCGGUCUCAGUUCGGAUUGGGGUCUGCAACUCGACCCCAUGAAGUCGGAGUCGCUAGUAAUCGCAGAUCAGCAACGCUGCGGUGAAUACGUUCCCGGGGCUUGUACACACCGCCCGUCAAGUCUUGAAAGUCGGUAACACCCGAAGCCGGU
This 872-nucleotide ribosomal RNA is filed under the name uncultured bacterium. RNAcentral's name for it is "bacterial SSU rRNA". It matches the Rfam family "Bacterial small subunit ribosomal RNA", at positions 561 to 1431 of the family's 1533-position model. The record is from RNAcentral.